Molecule: long non-coding RNA, 870 nt
Filed under: Pandoravirus salinus
Description: putative ncRNA
Source: RNAcentral
CGCCGCGCACCGCGUGCACACCUGUGGCACCGACGCUGGCGCUGGCGUCGGCGACCUUGGCGCUGGUGGCAACGACGGCGACGACGACAACAGCGACGGAUCAAAGGCGCAGCACGACAGCGGAUCGACCAGGGCCGACGUGUCGGUGCGCUCGAUGACGGCGACAAAGUGAAUCGACGUCACGAGCCCGCGAAAGGCAAUCAUCCCGCCUUGCGUGUCGAGACGCUCGAUCCAUACCGACGGCGCCGUGUCGGCCGCAGGGGCCGCGACGGGCGUCGCCACCAAGGAAAGGACGGUGCGCGCUUCUGCAAAGUGGAGCGUCACAUGGCGCGCCGUCACCGCGUAUCCAUAGCCGGGUCCGUUGCCGCCUGCCAAUGGUGCGCCGACGCCGACGACACCCGCGACGAUCGACGGACCGCCAGGCGUAGCCGCGGGCGGACGGCGGCACACACCGGCAGGCCCGGGCGGUCCUUGUGGACCCGUCUGUCCGACCGCCCCGGGCGGUCCCUGCGGGCCUGGCGGCCCGGUUGCGCCAGGAGGUCCCGAUGGUCCAGGCGGACCGCGUUCUCGGUGCGCCGUCGCGUCGACAGGGCUAGGCACUUCAUGGACGCGUGCGCCGGAUCGAUCGGCCGCCGUGAGGGGCCGCCGUAGCGCAGCCAACGGGGCACACGGAAUGGUCGACGCCGGUGACGGCAACGCUAUAGACGGUGACGGCAGCGAUGGCGGCAUAGACGACGGUGGCGCGGCGCACGGCCGCUGCCAGGUCAUGAGCGCCUGUGCGCCCGGCGAUAGGCCCGGAUUAAAGCAGGCGCCCGCAACGGCGGCCGGCGCCGGGCCAUAAUACAUAUUCUCUUUUUUUUUCCUCCUUCU